RNAcentral lists this ribosomal RNA (432 nucleotides) under uncultured bacterium. Its description in RNAcentral is "partial 16S ribosomal RNA". It matches the Rfam family "Bacterial small subunit ribosomal RNA", at positions 29 to 507 of the family's 1533-position model. The record is from RNAcentral.
ACGCACGCUGGCGGCAUGCCUCACACCUGCCAGUCGCACGAGACCUUCGGGUCUAGUGGCGCACGGGUGCGUAACGCGUGGGAACCUGCCCUUAGGUUCGGAAUAACUCCCCGAAAGGGGUGCUAAUACCGGAUAAUGUCUUCGGACCAAAGAUUUAUCGCCUUUGGAUGGGCCCGCGUUGGAUUAGCUAGUUGGUAGGGUAAAAGCCUACCAAGGCGACGAUCCAUAGCUGGUCUGAGAGGAUGAUCAGCCACACUGGGACUGAGACACGGCCCAGACUCCUACGGGAGGCAGCAGUGGGGAAUAUUGGACAAUGGGCGAAAGCCUGAUCCAGCAAUGCCGCGUGAGUGAUGAAGGCCUUAGGGUUGUAAAGCUCUUUUACCCGGGAUGAUAAUGACAGUACCGGGAGAAUAAGCUCCGGCUAACUCCGUG